GAUGAACGCUAGCGGCAGGCUUAAUACAUGCAAGUCGAGGGGCAGCACGGGUAGCAAUACCUGGUGGCGACCGGCAAACGGGUGCGGAACACGUACAGAACCUUCCUUUAAGUGGGGGAUAGCCCGGAGAAAUCCGGAUUAAUACCCCGUAACAUUAUGGUGUGGCAUCAUACUAUAAUUAUAGAUUUAUUGCUUAGAGAUGGCUGUGCGGCUGAUUAGGUAGUUGGUGUAGGAACGGCUCACCAAGCCUGCGAUCAGUAACUGGUGUGAGAGCACGACCAGUCACACGGGCACUGAGACACGGGCCCGACUCCUACGGGAGGCAGCAGUAAGGAAUAUUGGUCGAUGGACGCAAGUCUGAACCAGUCAUGCCGCGUGAAGGAUGAAGGCCCUC
This 394-nucleotide ribosomal RNA is filed under the name uncultured bacterium. RNAcentral's name for it is "bacterial SSU rRNA". It matches the Rfam family "Bacterial small subunit ribosomal RNA", at positions 28 to 419 of the family's 1533-position model. The record is from RNAcentral.